This is a long non-coding RNA of Solanum pennellii, 478 nucleotides long. RefSeq lists it as uncharacterized. Lineage: Eukaryota; Viridiplantae; Streptophyta; Magnoliopsida; Solanales; Solanaceae. The transcript is spliced from 2 exons. The record is from RefSeq and is a predicted model, not a curated record.
UGCUUCCUGCUGAUAAUCUUCCAACUUUGUGCUGUGUUCCUCUCAGCCAAAUCUGGUUGCGUCAUGUAUUCAUCGGUUAGUAUGCAGCAGAUUGUUUAGAGAUGAAGCGUUACUUAACAUGGUAGAUUUUGUGCAAUCCUGCAUCAGUGGGGGUGUCAAUGGAAAGGUACUUGCUCCACAUCAACAAGUUGGAUUUGUUACCUUUAUAAGUGAAGCUUCAAUUGUUGAACUUGCACUGUAUAACCAGUCCUUAUAUACAGCUAAUGAGUUCACAGCCUUGUUUUUCAUACUCCAACUCUUUGAUGGUGCUUUGAUCUCUUGCUGCCUGCUGUUUGGUAUAGCUAACUCCUGUAUUUAGUUAUUAUAUAUAUGUAACUCAAUUGCUGAAUGAGUUGUAUUACAUGACUUGAAACAAGAUCUUUGAUCUGACCUGUAUGCUUGAGUCUGUGCAGCCUAUAUACAGCUUUCCGUUUAUCAA